CCUGGUCUCGAUCCAUCUCGGGAUCCAUCCCCUCCUCGUUUCCACUCCCCAGCUCCUCCCGAUCCAUCCAGCUCCACCCCUCAAUUUCAUCAUCAAGCCAACAGGCGGCCUCCCUGCGUGGCCGCGCCCCUGGCCCCGAUCCUGCCACCCAAGGCCCAGCCUCCUCUCGCUCUCGUGCGCGAGCACGCGCCCAGGAGCUUGAACAGGGGAGCCCCGAUCCCGCAGCGCCAGGCACCCCUGCAUCCUCCCGUGCUUCCCCGCACCACCGAAGCCACCAGGAUCCCGUGCCGGCGAGCGCCAACGCCGGAGCUACUCUGUUCCUUGCCCGAACCCGCAGGAGCUCCGCCCCAACGCCAUGGCCGUCCUCUUCUUCCAAGUCUGCCCCGUCCUCACGUCUCCCGCAGCCAGCCGAGCCUCCCCGCCGCCUCGCCGCUCCGAUGACCACCUCCAGCAGGAGCCUCCAUGGCGCCUGCCAUUUCGAGCUCCAAGCCCCAGAUGUCAAGUCUCCGUCCUUCGCCGUCAUGAAGGCCGUCCGAGCUGCGCCUCGACCGCCUGGUCCGGCCGCCCAUCCUCGGAUCCGUCUGUUUUUGCCGUUCCAAACCACCGCCGGGGCUCCUCCUUGUCGCCACAUAGCUGGAGGAUGCCAAGCUGCCGAGGCACCUCCCCGACACCCUGCUUCGCCUGGAUCCGUGAGCCCAUGCCCCCCUACCGCCGGCGAUGCCAAGCCCCUGCCGCUGUGCCGCCGUUGGUCAGGCCUCACCUCUGCUUUGCUAGAACAGGGAGGAGAACGCCUCUGCCUCUGUUCGCUCGGGUCGCCCGCGCUUUGACCACGCCGCCUUGUCAAGCCGCCCCUUGGGCCAGAUCCACCAACUGGGCUUGGCCCAAUUUCCUAUAACGUCGCGUUCGUGAGGAUUCGUUCGACUUCGUCCGUUUGU
Long non-coding RNA from Triticum dicoccoides, 935 nucleotides. RefSeq lists it as uncharacterized. The transcript is spliced from 4 exons. NCBI's taxonomy places the organism in Eukaryota, Viridiplantae, Streptophyta, Magnoliopsida, Poales, Poaceae. The record is from RefSeq and is a predicted model, not a curated record.